This 196-nucleotide ribosomal RNA is filed under the name uncultured bacterium. RNAcentral's name for it is "partial 16S ribosomal RNA". It matches the Rfam family "Bacterial small subunit ribosomal RNA", at positions 335 to 524 of the family's 1533-position model. The record is from RNAcentral.
ACUCCUACGGGAGGCAGCAGUGGGGAAUAUUGGACAAUGGGCGAAAGCCUGAUCCAGCAAUACCGCGUGUGUGAAGAAGGCCUGAGGGUUGUAAAGCACUUUCAAUAGGAAGGAACACCUAUCGGUUAAUACCCGGUAGACUGACAUUACCUAUACAAGAAGCACCGGCUGACUCCGUGCCAGCAGCCGCGGUAAU